CCUACGGGUGGCAGCAGUGGGGAAUAUUGGACAAUGGGCGAAAGCCUGAUCCAGCCAUGCCGCGUGUGUGAAGAAGGCCUUCGGGGUGUAAAGCACUUUCAGUGGGGAAGAAAGCCUUGGGGCUAAUACCCUCGAGGAAGGACAUCACCCACAGAAGAAGCACCGGCUAACUCCGUGCCAGCAGCCGCGGUAAUACGGAGGGUGCGAGCGUUAAUCGGAAUUACUGGGCGUAAAGCGCGCGUAGGCGGUCUGAUAAGCCGGUUGUGAAAGCCCCGGGCUCAACCUGGGAACGGCAUCCGGAACUGUCAGGCUAGAGUGCAGGAGAGGAAGGUAGAAUUCCCGGUGUAGCGGUGAAAUGCGUAGAGAUCGGGAGGAAUACCAGUGGCGAAGGCGGCCUUCUGGACUGACACUGACGCUGAGGUGCGAAAGCGUGGGUAGCAAACAGGAUUAGAUACCCUAGUAGUC
Molecule: ribosomal RNA, 465 nt
Filed under: Vreelandella stevensii
Lineage: Bacteria; Pseudomonadati; Pseudomonadota; Gammaproteobacteria; Oceanospirillales; Halomonadaceae
Description: partial 16S ribosomal RNA
Rfam family: Bacterial small subunit ribosomal RNA
Source: RNAcentral